Molecule: long non-coding RNA, 636 nt
Filed under: Homo sapiens (human)
Lineage: Eukaryota; Metazoa; Chordata; Mammalia; Primates; Hominidae
Description: HSALNT0393982
Source: RNAcentral
CCGUUUUUUAAGCCCGUCGGAAAAGCGCAGUAUUCAGGUAUCACCAGCUGUUUAUUUCUUCAGACAUAGGAAACGUGAACUGCUCAACCUGCCUGGUACAGGGGAUUCACAUGGAGGAGCAGCUUGAGAAAGGGAAGAGACAAAAGCACUUGUGAGUGGCACUGAACUCAAAAAUGCACACAUCCUUUCCUAGGCAAUUGGAAGCCAUUUCAGAGUCCUGGAAACUUAGAUAAACAAUCUGUGCUUUAGGAUAGUAAGCACGUUGGAAGGAAAGCCUGUAGCUUAGACUAGAGGGAUUCAACACAGAAAAAUAAGUAUUGAGGGGCUUUAUGAAGUCUGAGGUCAUGAGGCAGUAAGCUAAGAUAGCUUCAAAGGAAGUGGAAUGAAACUGUUAGAUAUGACAAUAUCAAGAAAGAAGAAAUACCAGGAUUUUCAGAAUACAAAACAAUUAAAUAUAUUGCUCUAGUUAUCUAAUAUCCCUUCAAGGUGUAAGCAGGAAAUACAUUUGGCUCUAGUAAAAUAUAGCUCAGUGUCUCUUUUAAUGGGGAGGGCUUACAUACUGCAAUGGGAAACAAGGUUGUUCUUAUUUGCAAUUUUUCUUCUAAGCUUACACCACAGCUUUUAUCUUAGUACUGU